AUACGGAGGGGGCUAGCGUUGUUCGGAAUUACUGGGCGUAAAGCGUACGUAGGCGGACUGGAAAGUUGGGGGUGAAAUCCCGGGGCUCAACCCCGGAACUGCCUCCAAAACUUCCAAUCUAGAGAUCGAGAGAGGUGAGUGGAAUUCCAAGUGUAGAGGUGAAAUUCGUAGAUAUUUGGAGGAACACCAGUGGCGAAGGCGGCUCACUGGCUCGAUACUGACGCUGAGGUACGAAAGCGUGGGGAGCAAACAGGAUUAGAAACCCCAGUAGUCC
This 274-nucleotide ribosomal RNA is filed under the name uncultured bacterium. RNAcentral's name for it is "partial 16S ribosomal RNA". It matches the Rfam family "Bacterial small subunit ribosomal RNA", at positions 523 to 796 of the family's 1533-position model. The record is from RNAcentral.